This 686-nucleotide long non-coding RNA is filed under the name Phascolarctos cinereus (koala). RNAcentral's name for it is "lncRNA (ENSPCIG00000036160.1)". Lineage: Eukaryota; Metazoa; Chordata; Mammalia; Diprotodontia; Phascolarctidae. The record is from RNAcentral.
UUUAGACCUCAGGGGAAAUAGGGCCUGAGAGCUUUGGGGAGGGAGAUGAUGUCCCCAUCGGCUCCUUCCCCAUCUGGGAUCUCUUCCAUUCUUUGGGCCUUUGACUGACACCCACAGUGUGCAGAGGCUGAGGUUAGGGCCAGCUGGGGUUACCCUCGGUCAUCAGGUGGGUGGGGGGAGGGGGGAGCCAGCUUGGAAGGAGCCUGGAGGGACUGACCCAGGUAAAAUAUUAACCAACAGCUUCGGGAGAGGCAGGGGCCAGAAAGGCCUGAGAACCUCCCCCUCCAGCCUGUCCCUUUCUCCUUGGCACUGGGUCAGGUGCCUCCCUUCCCACCUCCUCUGUCAAAGGAGUUGACUGACCCCAGAGGGGACCCGGGCAUCAGGCUUGGCCGGGAGGCCCCGAGUCCCAGCCAUGAGGCGGAGCCGGACCGCGGCAUCCUUCCUGCCUAACGAGCGAGUCCGAGAGGCGGCAGAAUUGAGCCCUGCGGCUGUCGGCCCCCCCAGGCAGCAGCGCAGUCCGCAGGCGCUUCUCUGGGACCCCGCAGCUGCCGCCGCUCACGUGGCGCCACGGCCCAGUGGGAGAGCCCGCCCGGGCCCUAGAGCCUGAAGCCAGUGCCCGGGUCGUGUUCAGCAUUGAGGAGCGAGUGUCCGAGCGUGGCUAUCCCCCGACUGGCAGCAGGUAAGGG